GCAGUAGUGGUUUGAAACGAACGUGUUUUUUUCUCGUGCCGAAAACCAUGUGUGACGAAAAACAUGAGCAACGGAUAAACGUAAAAUUUUCUCGUUAAACUAAAAAAAACUCCAACUGAGUGCUAUAAGUUGUUAAAAGAGGCCUAUAGUGAGGAUUUCCUAUCUCGGGCGCGUGUUUUUGAGUGGCAUAAAUUAUUUUCUGAAGGUCGAGAGUGCACCGGAAUCCAAUUCAGUCGUAAUCCAAAUUCAAAACCGUUUUCUUCGAUAUCAACGGCAUCGUGAUGACUGAAUGGGUUCCAGAGGGUCAAACUGUGAACCAACAUUACUAUUUGACAGUUUUGGCAACAUUGCGCGAAUGAGUUCGUAAGAAACGGUCGAUAUUGUGGAAAAACAAGCCGUGGAUCUUGCACCAGGAUAAAACGUGAAGCGUUAUUUGGCCGCUUAAGGCACUCCAGUACUCGAACACGCGUCUUACUCACCCGACUUGGCACCCUGCGACUUUUACUUGUUUCCGAAGAUAAAGUCUGACUUAAAAGGAAUCC
Non-coding RNA from Cinara cedri, 542 nucleotides. The record is from the annotation of a GenBank genome assembly. Lineage: Eukaryota; Metazoa; Arthropoda; Insecta; Hemiptera; Aphididae.